RNAcentral lists this non-coding RNA (48 nucleotides) under Schistosoma margrebowiei. Lineage: Eukaryota; Metazoa; Platyhelminthes; Trematoda; Strigeidida; Schistosomatidae. The record is from RNAcentral.
CUUCAACUGACGAGUCCCAAAUAGGACAAAACACAUGUCAAACUGGAU